RNAcentral lists this ribosomal RNA (449 nucleotides) under uncultured bacterium. RNAcentral's name for it is "partial 16S ribosomal RNA". It matches the Rfam family "Bacterial small subunit ribosomal RNA", at positions 29 to 523 of the family's 1533-position model. The record is from RNAcentral.
AACGUACGCUGGCGGCACGCCUAACACAUGCAAGUCGAACGCAGUAGCAAUACUGAGUGGCAGACGGGUGAGUAACAUGUGGGAAUCUGCCUUGUGGUUCAGGACAACAUUGGGAAACCGAUGCUAAUACUGGACAAGCCCUUACGGGGAAAGUUUUAAUGCCAUAAGAUGAGCCCGCAUUUGAUUAGUUAGUUGGUGAGGUAAUGGCUCACCAAGACAAUGAUCAAUAGCUGAUCUGAGAGGAUGAUCAGCCACACUGGGACUGAGACACGGCCCAGACUCCUACGGGAGGCAGCAGUGGGGAAUCUUGCACAAUGGAGGAAACUCUGAUGCAGCGAUGCCGCGUGAGUGAAGAAGGCCUUUGGGUUGUAAAGCUCUUUUGUAGGGGAAGAUAAUGACUGUACCCUAAGAAUAAGGUCCGGCUAACUUCGUGCCAGCAGCCGCGGUAA